This 755-nucleotide ribosomal RNA is filed under the name uncultured bacterium. RNAcentral's name for it is "bacterial SSU rRNA". It matches the Rfam family "Bacterial small subunit ribosomal RNA", at positions 8 to 796 of the family's 1533-position model. The record is from RNAcentral.
AGAGUUUGAUCAUGGCUCAGAAUCAACGCUGGCGGCGCGCUUAACACAUGCAAGUCGAGCGAGAAAGUGGAGCAAUCCAUGAGUACAGCGGCGUACGGGUGAGUAACACGUGGGUAAUCCACCUCUUAGUGGGGAAUAACCCUGGGAAACCGGGGCUAAUACCGCAUAAGCCUGAGAAGGGAAAGCAGCAAUGCGCUGAGAGAGGAGCCCGCGGCCGAUUAGCUAGUUGGUGAGGUAACGGCCCACCAAGGCGACGAUCGGUAGCCGGCCUGAGAGGGCACACGGCCACACUGGCACUGAAACACGGGCCAGACUCCUACGGGAGGCAGCAGUGGGGAAUCUUGCACAAUGGAGGCAACUCUGAUGCAGCGACGCCGCGUGAGCGAUGAAGCCCCUCGGGGUGUAAAGCUCUUUCGGCAGGAACGAUAAUGACGGUACCUGCAGAAGAAGCUGCGGCUAACUACGUGCCAGCAGCCGCGGUAAUACGUAGGCAGCGAGCGUUGUUCGGAAUUACUGGGCGUAAAGAGUGUGUAGGCGGUGUUCUAAGUUCGGUGUGAAAUCUCCUGGCUCAACUGGGAGGGUGCGCCGAAAACUGGGAUGCUCGAGCGUGGGAGAGGAAAGCGGAAUUCCUGGUGUAGCGGUGAAAUGCGUAGAUAUCAGGAGGAACACCGCGGUGUAGACGGCUUUCUGGACCAUUGCUGACGCUGAGACACGAAAGCGUGGGUAGCAAACAGGAUUAGAUACCCUAGUAGUCC